CCUACGGGUGGCUGCAGUGGGGAAUUUUGGACAAUGGGGGAAACCCUGAUCCAGCCAUGCCGCGUGCAGGAUGAAGGCCUUCGGGUUGUAAACUGCUUUUGUACGGAACGAAAAGGUCUUUUCUAAUAAAGAAGGCUGAUGACGGUACCGUAAGAAUAAGCACCGGCUAACUACGUGCCAGCAGCCGCGGUAAUACGUAGGGUGCGAGCGUUAAUCGGAAUUACUGGGCGGGUAACGCGCGCAGGAUGUUAAAUCCCCGGGCUCAACCUGGGAACUGCAUUAGUGACUGCAUAGCUAGAGUGCGGCAGAGGGGGAUGGAAUUCCGCGUGUAGCAGUGAAAUGCGUAGAUAUGCGGAGGAACACCGAUGGCGAAGGCAAUCCCCUGGGCCUGCACUGACGCUCAUGCACGAAAGCGUGGGGAGCAAACAGGAUUAGAUACCCUAGUAGUC
Molecule: ribosomal RNA, 449 nt
Filed under: uncultured bacterium
Lineage: Bacteria
Description: partial 16S ribosomal RNA
Rfam family: Bacterial small subunit ribosomal RNA
Source: RNAcentral